This 364-nucleotide ribosomal RNA is filed under the name Streptomyces malachitospinus. RNAcentral's name for it is "bacterial SSU rRNA". It matches the Rfam family "Bacterial small subunit ribosomal RNA", at positions 100 to 498 of the family's 1533-position model. The record is from RNAcentral. Lineage: Bacteria; Bacillati; Actinomycetota; Actinomycetes; Kitasatosporales; Streptomycetaceae.
GAACGGGUGAGUANNGAGGGCAAUCUGCCCUGCACUCUGGGACAACCCUGGAAACGGGUAAUACCGGAUACUAACCUUACAGGCUGAGGGUCGAAAGUCCGGCGGUGCAGGAUGAGCCCGCGGCCUAUCAGCUAGUUGGUGAGGUAAUGGCUCACCAGGCGACGACGGGUAGCCGGCCUGAGAGGGCGACCGGCCACACUGGGACUGAGACACGGCCCAGACUCCUACGGGAGGCAGCAGUGGGGAAUAUUGCACAAUGGGCGAAAGCCUGAUGCAGCGACGCCGCGUGAGGGAUGACGGCCUUCGGGUUGUAAACCUCUUUCAGCAGGGAAGAAGGACGGUACCUGCAGAAGAAGCGCCGGCU